Molecule: long non-coding RNA, 522 nt
Filed under: Cyanistes caeruleus (blue tit)
Lineage: Eukaryota; Metazoa; Chordata; Aves; Passeriformes; Paridae
Description: lncRNA (ENSCCEG00000003162.1)
Source: RNAcentral
GGGUAUCAUGUAAUCUUUUGGCCUUCCAUGUGAAGUUACUGACAUAACCAGUUUUUUUCAGGUUCCCUCAGGUACUUUCAAGACCAGCAGAAAGAUAAAAUUACUGACGAUGCAGAGACUGAUGACAGACCUACACACCACAAUAAAGAUGUGGCUGGAGUAGAAGCAAAGGCAUCUGGUUGAACAAAGUAUUUAAGGGAAGUUUGCAGUUAAAGCCUUGUGUGCAAUGAAGGCUCAGGUAAAUAAAAGGGUUUCAGAGCAGCAGCUCAAGCUGAGUAUUUCCUUUGGAAGGGUCGCUCCAAAGCCGCAGACUGGGCGCAGGGAGGAGUUCCCCUCACUCUGGAAGAGAAAAGGCACUUGACAAGGAAACCCAGGCCAAAGCAGACUGUUGAUGUGCUUUAUAUAUAUUAAAAUAUUUCUGGGCUGCAAUGAGUCAAGACUAGGAAAAGUAGAUCUGAAAGCAUUUUCUUGACAUGAUUUAUAGCAAGAAAAAAUACCAAAUAAAGUGUUGUCUUCACAGCA